GAGUUCAUGCCCUUACGGGUAGAUCUCCCACCCUUGAAUAUCUAAACCUUUGUUGCUUUGGCGGGCCGCUUCGGCUACCGGCUCCGGCUGGUGAGUGCCCGCCAGAGAACCUUAAACUCUGAAUUAUAGUGUCGUCUGAGUACUAUAAAAUAGUUAAAACUUUCAACAACGGAUCUCUUGGUUCU
This 185-nucleotide unclassified non-coding RNA is filed under the name rhizosphere metagenome. RNAcentral describes it as "partial ribosomal RNA internal transcribed spacer region". The record is from RNAcentral.